GUGCCAGCAGCCGCGGUAAUACGUAGGUCCCGAGCGUUAUCCGGAUUUAUUGGGCGUAAAGCGAGCGCAGGCGGUUAGAUAAGUCUGAAGUUAAAGGCUGUGGCUUAACCAUAGUACGCUUUGGAAACUGUUUAACUUGAGUGCAGAGGGGGAGAGUGGAAUUCCAUGUGUAGCAGUGAAAUGCGUAGAUAUAUGGAGGAACACCGGUGGCGAAAGCGGCUCUCUGGUCUGUAACUGACGCUGAGGCUCGAAAGCGUGGGGAGCAAACAGG
This 271-nucleotide ribosomal RNA is filed under the name uncultured Streptococcaceae bacterium. Its description in RNAcentral is "partial 16S ribosomal RNA". It matches the Rfam family "Bacterial small subunit ribosomal RNA", at positions 505 to 776 of the family's 1533-position model. Lineage: Bacteria; Bacillati; Bacillota; Bacilli; Lactobacillales; Streptococcaceae. The record is from RNAcentral.